This 76-nucleotide non-coding RNA is filed under the name Bacillus massilinigeriensis. Its description in RNAcentral is "Cyclic di-GMP-I riboswitch". It matches the Rfam family "c-di-GMP-I riboswitch aptamer". Rfam says of the family: GEMM was predicted in a large-scale screen for bacterial structured RNA regulatory elements. Genes associated with GEMM are involved in a diverse array of functions, including chemotaxis regulation, signal transduction, secretion and chitin. Lineage: Bacteria; Bacillati; Bacillota; Bacilli; Caryophanales; Bacillaceae. The record is from RNAcentral.
AUAGGGUACAGCCAGGGAAACCUGGUGUCACAAAGCUAUGGGGCUAAGGGAGUUUUCCUAUGUCAGCCAGCUGCCG